GAUCCUGGCCAGGAUGAACGCUGGCGGCGUGCCUAAUACAUGCAAGUCGAACGCGCAGCGAGAGGUGCUUGCACCUUUCAAGCGAGUGGCGAACGGGUGAGUAACACGUGGAUAACCUGCCUCAAGGCUGGGGAUAACAUUUGGAAACAGAUGCUAAUACCGAAUAAAACUUAGUUAUCGCAUGAUAUCAAGUUAAAAGGCGCUACGGCGUCACCUAGAGAUGGAUCCGCGGUG
This 234-nucleotide ribosomal RNA is filed under the name uncultured bacterium. RNAcentral describes it as "partial 16S ribosomal RNA". It matches the Rfam family "Bacterial small subunit ribosomal RNA", at positions 15 to 238 of the family's 1533-position model. The record is from RNAcentral.